CAAUCGGCCCUUUUCAGGGCCAACUAAAGAGUUAAUUGCGAAUAUU
Aedes aegypti (yellow fever mosquito) is the source of this 46-nucleotide non-coding RNA. Lineage: Eukaryota; Metazoa; Arthropoda; Insecta; Diptera; Culicidae. The record is from Rfam.